The submitters of this non-coding RNA (83 nucleotides) gave its source as unclassified sequences. The record is from Rfam.
GCCCGGCCGCGCUGUCUACACGCCCGGGCCAUCUGUACACCAGCCGUCCGGACCGACACGGGGCGGCGCAGAUCGAAGGAGGA